UACGUAGGUGGCAAGCGUUGUCCGGAUUUAUUGGGUUUAAAGGGUGCGUAGGCGGCUUUGUAAGUCAGUGGUGAAAUAUGGCAGCUCAACUGUCAAGGUGCCAUUGAUACUGCGGAGCUUGAGUACAGAUGAGGUAGGCGGAAUUGACGGUGUAGCGGUGAAAUGCUUAGAUAUCGUCAAGAACACCGAUAGCGAAGGCAGCUUACUACACGAGUAUUGACACUGAGGCACGAAAGCGUGGGGAUCAAACAGG
RNAcentral lists this ribosomal RNA (253 nucleotides) under uncultured bacterium. Its description in RNAcentral is "partial 16S ribosomal RNA". It matches the Rfam family "Bacterial small subunit ribosomal RNA", at positions 524 to 776 of the family's 1533-position model. The record is from RNAcentral.